CUGUUUUUUUAUAUGCUUGCUGUUAGCCAGUUAACACAUUAUGUAUGAAUGUCGUCUACCAUCCACGUUCACCCAAGAACAUACAUAAGUCCUCCAAGGACAGCGCCAUCUGUCUGAGUUAUUCAGGUUGGGCAUCUGCUUAGUAACAGCCACACACAGCAUUUUCUUGGACCGACUCCACCGCCAGCAUCCCCAGUGGUCGCCCCUCCCACAGCACACAGCGCAGCACUAGCAGUCACGCCAUAAACCAUAGUCAAAUUAUACCUGGGCUUGCCUGGUACACAUUAUCAGGCCCUCUGGAGCCAAAGGACCUCCCAGCUCCUUCUAGCUCCCCUUAAAUCAGCUACUCGUCUUGCAUGAGCUCAAGGCCAGCCUGGACUAUGUAACAAAAUCUCAUUUUAAAAAAAAAAUUAGCUUUUAGACUCUAGCCAAGUUAUUUUACACAUCUUUGACUUUACCCCUUUCAUACAAUGGGGAUAAUGGUCACCUCUCAAGUAGAAACUGGGGUUCCCUGAGUCCACUCUGUAAGUGCCAUUUUUUUUUUCAUUGCUCCACAGGUACUGCAGAUACACAGGCGCCAGCCCCCCAGCCAAGCCGCAGGUACUGUGUGCUCUGCACAGAAGCUUCAUUGAGCCAUUCAGCACCACUGGUCCCCCCUGUGCAUGCCAGACGCUAGGUUAGACCACAGGAUGUCAGAGGGAACAGGACAGGCAUCCCCUCCUAGUGAGGGCAGCUUCUGAGUGGUCGGGAAGUGAUGUCUGUUGUGUGUGUUGUAGGCGUGAGGUGAACCAGCAUGAUGAAGAUGGCAACGAACUUCAGACCACUCCUGAGUUCCGAGCCUACGUGGCCAAGAAACUGGGAGCACUGCUGGACAGCUCCAUUGCUAUCGCAGAAGUAUGGAAGAAGACCCAGCAGGCCAGGUUGCAGCAGGAGGCCAAGGAGCAGCAGGAGGCCAAGGAGCA
Molecule: long non-coding RNA, 962 nt
Filed under: Rattus norvegicus (Norway rat)
Lineage: Eukaryota; Metazoa; Chordata; Mammalia; Rodentia; Muridae
Description: long non-coding RNA NONRATT008067
Source: RNAcentral